RNAcentral lists this ribosomal RNA (417 nucleotides) under Anaplasma marginale. Its description in RNAcentral is "bacterial SSU rRNA". It matches the Rfam family "Bacterial small subunit ribosomal RNA", at positions 58 to 503 of the family's 1533-position model. Lineage: Bacteria; Pseudomonadati; Pseudomonadota; Alphaproteobacteria; Rickettsiales; Anaplasmataceae. The record is from RNAcentral.
CACGUCGAACGGACCGUAUACGCAGCUUGCUGCGUGUAUGGUUAGUGGCAGACGGGUGAGUAAUGCAUAGGAAUCUACCUAGUAGUAUGGGAUAGCCACUAGAAAUGGUGGGUAAUACUGUAUAAUCCCUGCGGGGGAAAGAUUUAUCGCUAUUAGAUGAGCCUAUGUCAGAUUAGCUAGUUGGUGGGGUAAUGGCCUACCAAGGCGGUGAUCUGUAGCUGGUCUGAGAGGAUGAUCAGCCACACUGGAACUGAGACACGGUCCAGACUCCUACGGGAGGCAGCAGUGGGGAAUAUUGGACAAUGGGCGCAAGCCUGAUCCAGCUAUGCCGCGUGAGUGAGGAAGGCCUUAGGGUUGUAAAACUCUUUCAGUAGGGAAGAUAAUGACGGUACCUACAGAAGAAGUCCCGGCAAACUC